Stegodyphus dumicola is the source of this 676-nucleotide long non-coding RNA. NCBI's taxonomy places the organism in Eukaryota, Metazoa, Arthropoda, Arachnida, Araneae, Eresidae. The record is from RefSeq and is a predicted model, not a curated record.
UCCCAUCAGAUAGGCGCAAAGGAAGAAGGCAUUCUCAGACUCUUCGGACUUGGAGAUCGGCGAUGCUAUAGUAGUAACCAAGGCAACGCAUGUCGGAGUGAACGCACACACAUCCAACGUGGCGGGCCCACCGAUUCUUUGGGAUCACGUGCUCUUGCAGUACGGCCGUCCCGUGCCCCCUCGAGAGAUGACCUCAGCGAUGGUCAUGCCUCCCCACUGCAAGACCGAAACCAGAACUGAGCCCAAGAAACUCGCAGAACACUACCACAUAUUUGUAGGCGACCUGAGCCCGGAAAUUGAAACGCAACAACUCAGAGAAGCCUUCGCGCCAUUUGGGGAGAUUUCCCGUAUCUCCAGGCCUUUAAAAAGCAAAGUACGAGAAAUAUAGAACUGGAGACAAUAUAGAACUGGAGCAAUGAUCUGAGCUUUACGAAUCGAGCUACAAUACCAAAAAUAAUAAAUCCAAAUUCUCAGAUGAAAUUUUUCACAUAUCUAUUCCAUAAUUUGAAAUAUUGUUACAUUUAUUUUAAUUAUAUUUAUUUUGAACGUGUUGUGUUUAAUACAAUGUUCACAAUCUUAAUAAUUUUCUUAUAUUUAUUUUGUUUAUAUUUUACUGCUAUUUUCAAAUAUAUUUUUAAGUCUUUUAAAUAUAUUCUCAAAUAUAUUUUAUUUUUAU